UCCCUGAUAGCUCAGUUGGUAAAGAAUCCGCCUGCAAUGAAGGAGAGCCUGGUUCGAUUCCUGGGUUGGGAA
RNAcentral lists this transfer RNA (72 nucleotides) under Haemonchus contortus (barber pole worm). RNAcentral describes it as "tRNA, Pseudo". The record is from RNAcentral. Lineage: Eukaryota; Metazoa; Nematoda; Chromadorea; Rhabditida; Trichostrongylidae.